RNAcentral lists this transfer RNA (66 nucleotides) under Ictidomys tridecemlineatus (thirteen-lined ground squirrel). RNAcentral describes it as "Spermophilus tridecemlineatus (thirteen-lined ground squirrel) tRNA". It matches the Rfam family "tRNA". From Rfam's summary of the family: Transfer RNA (tRNA) molecules are approximately 80 nucleotides in length. Their secondary structure includes four short double-helical elements and three loops (D, anti-codon, and T loops). Further hydrogen bonds mediate the characteristic L-shaped molecular structure. tRNAs have two regions of fundamental functional importance: the anti-codon, which is responsible for specific mRNA codon recognition, and the 3' end, to which the tRNAs corresponding amino acid is attached (by aminoacyl-tRNA synthetases). tRNAs cope with the degeneracy of the genetic code in two manners: having more than one tRNA (with a specific anti-codon) for a particular amino acid; and 'wobble' base-pairing, i.e. permitting non-standard base-pairing at the 3rd anti-codon position. The record is from Rfam by way of RNAcentral. Lineage: Eukaryota; Metazoa; Chordata; Mammalia; Rodentia; Sciuridae.
AGAAUUGUGGCUCAGUGGUAGAGCACUUGCCUCACAUGCAUGGAUGGAGCACUGGGUUCGAUUCUC